AUUUUAUUGCCAAUUGUAUUCUGUUUUUAUUCUAAUUUGAAGUGUUACUGUUUUGUUAAAUGCUGAGUUUUCCCCAUGUACCGUGAAUGCACCAUAGCGCGUGCGUGGUGACUUUCUUUCACUGCAUCCGCCUGCACGGAGCUAGAUGCGCAAAGCUGUGUGGAUAUUCAGUCCUGUAACGUGUUGCGCUACGGAAUUAAUGUUUUCUAUGAAGAAUAUCCUGGCUGGUUUUUUUUAUGUAGUAGAAAUCUGCUGCGAGGACCGAGCGGUGCCAUCUAAGGACUGGAUGCCACUGGAGGUGCCUAGAAAGGACGUUCUCAAUCUGAAGGCCACCUGUUUCCUUGGAGGGUGGUAGGAUACAACGAUUUGCAAUUUUUUUUGGACUAACGUUUUUUUUCUGAGAUCUCAGGACACUUUAUGUUGUUACUUUUUUCUUUUUUUUGGGUCAGAUCUGAUUCCACUUAACAUCAAAAAGCAAACCAGUGACUAAAGACAAUUAACACUUACUAAGAACACUGAAUACUAAGUGCACUGAACUGAAAUGGACAGCCUACCUGAUACAUUUAUGGACACUUUAAGUGAUAUGUUGUACAUUGUUGACAUUUACAUGUUUGAAAUGAUUUAAAUGUUUUGUUCAUGUCUAUGUUUUGGACCAUUUAAAUGUUGAAUACACUCAAAUCACUUUUCUCCCUUUAAGUUGUUGUCAGUGUCUCAUUCUGAGUGGAGGGAUAUUCCUUCUUUAAGUUGAGUUACCACUGCCAGUCUCCUUACGAUCCUAACUGAACCCAACAAGAGUAGAUUCUCAAAUAUUGUUUUUUUCCUUGACUUUGUAUGACAGAUUACUGUGGAUUUGACUGAUUUUGGACUACUCAGUUAAAAAGGGUGACAAUCACAAACUGACAUCUGGUGAUACGAUGUACCAAAUAAAAAUGGGCCUCAGUAGAUGUCAUGGUUCCCUUGCUCUCUUUUGCUGGCCUGCUUCUUUCUCUCUCCUCUUUCGGUGUAUGCCUGUGUUGUUGUCCGUGUGCUUGUCUUUUUUAGGGGAUGCUCCUCCAUCUUCCCGUCCCUCAGUCACUUGUGAACAAUCAGCUGAUUACUCGCCUGUUCCUCACGAGGUCUUCAUGCUGGCUUCUAAACAACCAGAUCAUUGCAGUACCAAGACGUUUCAGUGUUACGGAUCUCCAUGACCUUCUGUGACAGUGUCUGAGUGUGCCUCCAGACAACCUUCCCUACCUCUGCCCCGUCUCCUGGAGCCCACAGUGUUUAUCCUGUAUUUAUCCUUCUCUCACCCCAACCGGUUGCAGCAGAUGGCCGCCCCUUCCUGAGCCUGGUUCUGCCGGAGGUUUCUUCCUGUUAAAAGGGAGUUUUUCCUUCCCACUGUCGCCAAAGUGCUUGCUCAUAGGGGGUCAUAUGAUUGUUGGGUUUUUCUCUGUAUCUAUGAAGCGCCUUGAGGCGACUUUUGUUGUGAUUUGGCGCUAUAUAAAUAAAAUUGAAUUGUAUUGAUAACUAUCUGCAAAUAUACCUGUAAGACUUUACCACAGUGUCUCAUCAUCAUUCUGUUGUUUUCAUAACAGUACACUGUAGAAAUAAUGGACUGUCUAAUAGGUAUUGAGGUCAUAGUGAAUGUAGUUUAUUAGUGUGUGUCGUAGUAUGAUUUUGUUGUUUAUAGGAUUUAAGAUUAGAAAAUAGAAAAUAGUCCUGGGAUGGGAACAAAGAACUGGGGUGCAGGGAAGUGGGGCAAUUAACCCCCAAACACAGGACAGUAGCAAGAUUUACUGAGGGUGAGUGGCAGACAAUUGCCAAUGUACAUUACCUUAAAAGGAGAUGGGGGUCAGGGUGUCAGCACCCCAGGCCACUUUACCAGUGUUUUUCCAUUGUGGGGGAUUUACUGUAGAAAUUGGAGACCAGAGACUAUAACUGUAGCUGUUGUGUGAAACUCUUCAGAUCAGCCUUUAGAGUAGGACUGCACAGGAUGCAGUGUGCUGAUCUCCAGAUGCAUCUGUAAGGAAAAUGGGUAAUAAAAGGAUUGUGUGAAAUUUGGAAACAUCUCUGCGUGAUCUCUACCGAGACAAAAAGAAUUGGAGAGACCGACGUUGUCUCAACAACACUAAGUAGAUAUUCCAUAUUGCCAAUAUUAACAAAACCAAAAAGGGUAAGCCAAGUUAUUUAAAAAAAAGACAAUUCACAAAGUCUUGAAAAAUAGAAAUAAAGAAUAAAAAUCCUCAAUCCACUCUAUAACAACAGUCUCCUGCUUCCCUGCAGAUCAACACGUUCUCACUCCUAACUCGUCAUAUGUGCGACGCCCAUACAGCAUGUAUCACUUCUCAGUUAUUUAUUGCACUUCUUGCUCGUCAGUGAGGCACUUUUAGUGCUUUAUCUAUGUUUGUGUGGGGACUUGUUAUAAAUCAGUCUUCAACCUUUAAUCUCUCUCUGAAAAUGACUGGGAUUAAAUGCAGUAUAAUAAACUUUCCUGAACGUGUGUCUUGUCAUGAUCUCCAGUGCUGCCAUUUCAUAGGAUCUCCUGUCCAGGGCUUCUCAGACGUUGGUUGUUUUUAUAACUCCUCUCACCUUCUGCUCUUGUGUCUGCUGUGAUAAGCCUUUUAUACUCACCCAUUUUAUUUCCAUUUCUGUUUCUCAC
Molecule: long non-coding RNA, 2638 nt
Organism: Astatotilapia calliptera (eastern happy)
Lineage: Eukaryota; Metazoa; Chordata; Actinopteri; Cichliformes; Cichlidae
Source: Ensembl